Molecule: RNA transcript, 1832 nt
Organism: Sander lucioperca (pikeperch)
Lineage: Eukaryota; Metazoa; Chordata; Actinopteri; Perciformes; Percidae
Gene: extl2
Gene name: exostosin-like glycosyltransferase 2
Exons: 6
Source: RefSeq, a predicted model, not a curated record
UAACGUAUAACCGAUUCAAAUAAAUCGCUAUAUAUUUUAAGUAAUUGGCUAUUCGCAGGUUUUCCCAACAACACAGUCGUGCAUUUGUUUAGUGUGUGACGUCCACUCAUACCACGUUGACGCUAAUGUUAGAAUAGCAGAGCUCUUUUCCUUCAGGCUCUUUAGUUAGAGUUAGCCAACAUGGCGACCAUGUAACGUUAAAGCAAACGGACUAUGAGUGCCAACAAAAUGAGGGUCCCCCGAUGCUGCAUGGGGCUCCGGCGAGCCUAUUUGGUUUGGCCAAUCCUGCUGCUACUCCUGGUUGGUGCAGCCUUGACCGCUCUGCUGCCCCCUGCUGAGGACCAAGGAGGUGUUGGUGGCCUAGGAGUGCUACGCGAGCAUACAGUCUAUGUACGCGAGGUAACAUCACAAAAAAAGAAUCCUACACAGGACCACCAUAGUGACAGCAUAGAGGAGGAGCAGAGGUUCACCAUCAUCAUCCAAACUUACAACCGCACAGACAUUUUGCUCAAACUCCUAAACCAUUACCAGGCAGCACCUCAUCUUCAGCAGAUUAUCAUAGUCUGGAACAAUAUUGGGGAGCAGACACCCCUAAAGUUAUGGAACUCGUUGGGGCCUCAUCCGGUCCCUCUGGUCUUCAAGGAGCAGACUAUAAAUAACAUGCGCAACAGACUACAACCAUUCCCUGAGAUUGAUACUGAUGCUGUGCUGAUGCUGGAUGACGACACCCUGGUCAGUGUUCCUGACAUCAGUUUUGCUUUUUCUGUCUGGAAGCAAUUUCCAGACCAGAUUGUUGGGUUCGUCCCACGCAAACAUGUCUCAACACCAGGAGGAGUAUACAGUUACGGCAGUUUUGAACUGCAGGACCCAGAAACAGCUGGAGGUGACAAGUACUCCAUGGUGUUAGUUGGUGCUGCCUUCUUCCACCGCCGCUACCUGCUGCUCUUCCAGGACCAACCUCAAGCAGUGCAUGCGCUGGUGGAUGAAACACAGAAUUGUGACGACAUUGCCAUGAACUUUGCUGUAGCGCUGUAUUUGAGGAAACACUCUAUAGGCAAGGUUAACAAACCCUCUGGGGUCUUUGUCAAACCUGUAGACCUCCGCAACCUGGAAAAGGACGCCAGGAGCGGGUACCAGGGUAUGUGGCAUCGUCCUGAACACCUUCUUCAGAGGUCCUACUGUAUGAACAGGCUGACACAGAUCUAUGGCUUCAUGCCACUCUGCUUCUCCAACCUGAUGGUCUCCCAGUUUGGCUUCCCCAGCUACGCCAACCAUAAGAGUAGAGGCUGAACUGCUACACAGCUGACUGUUUUGGAUUGAAAGAAGACAGACUCAAGUAAGUCUGGGCUAUCAUGGAUUUCGGACAAUCAGAAUUUUCUACACAUGGCCCAGUCUGAGGAAACGUCUAUAUUUGAUAAGGUAAUCUCUAUAUCAUUACCAAAGCUGCCUUUCUUUCAGCAUGAACAACUCUCCCAGUGGAUUGUAGUGGUUGUUUUAUGACCAGCAGGUAUUAGUCUUAGAUCGUCUUUGACACUUUGCCUCGUUUGUAACCAUGAUUUACAGCUCUCUGAUGCUGUCGCGUUCACAUUUUUGUUUUUACUACAUUUAUACUUGUUUAUGGAAUGUCACUUUUCUGAUGAGCUUGUAUAAACUUGUCGUUACUGUGUCCCCACCAAAGUGUGAAUUUAUGAAUAAAAUACAGGUAUUUUGUACAUUCUAGGUAAUUCCUACUAUGCAUGCAUGGACAAUCUUUUUUUCUUUUCUUUUUUUUAAAUGUGUGGCCAUUAUAAAGACUGUAUCAUGUUAAUUAGUUAAAUAAAGCCAAAACUUUU